Molecule: ribosomal RNA, 477 nt
Filed under: Candidatus Brocadia anammoxidans
Lineage: Bacteria; Pseudomonadati; Planctomycetota; Candidatus Brocadiia; Candidatus Brocadiales; Candidatus Brocadiaceae
Description: bacterial SSU rRNA
Rfam family: Bacterial small subunit ribosomal RNA
Source: RNAcentral
UUCGCAAUGCCCGAAAGGGUGACGAAGCGACGCCGCGUGUGGGAAGAAGGCCUUCGGGUUGUAAACCACUGUCGGGAGUUAAGAAGUGUAGUGAUGUUAAUAGCAUCGCUACUUGACUAAGGCUCCGGAGGAAGCCACGGCUAACUCUGUGCCAGCAGCCGCGGUAAUACAGAGGCGGCAAGCGUUGUUCGGAAUUAUUGGGCGUAAAGAGCACGUAGGCGGCUAUGUAAGUCGGUUGUGAAAGCCUUCCGCUCAACGGAAGAACAGCAUCCGAUACUACAUGGCUUGAGUGCGGGAGGGGAGAGUGGAACUUCUGGUGGAGCGGUGAAAUGCGUAGAUAUCAGAAGGAACGCCGGCGGCGAAAGCGGCUCUCUGGCCCGUAACUGACGCUGAGUGUGCGAAAGCUAGGGGAGCAAACGGGAUUAGAUACCCCGGUAGUCCUAGCCGUAAACGAUGGGCACUAAGUAGAGGGGUUUU